Gasterosteus aculeatus aculeatus (three-spined stickleback) is the source of this 2444-nucleotide long non-coding RNA. RefSeq lists it as uncharacterized. Lineage: Eukaryota; Metazoa; Chordata; Actinopteri; Perciformes; Gasterosteidae. The record is from RefSeq and is a predicted model, not a curated record.
GGCUCAUUAUUCGAAUGGUUUAGAUUAGGUUUUAGCAUUUUAAAACGGCAUCAUAAUGUUUCUUUAACUCAUGCCAAACAUAAACAUACAGAGAAAAGUUGGAAAUCCCCCCUGUAUGGCAUAAGCACGAACCCGUGACUAACACUAGCAUAGCAGCUAACACGGACUUCCCCCUUUUCUCUGUAAAAGUCUGUUGUAACGGUUAUAAAGGGAUGAAUCGGCUAAUUAGGUCGCUAGCUAGCUAACACAUUUGUCAGUUACCAUGUCUUUGUCUUAGUGUCAGUCAAGCUUUCGCGUUAGCUUAAUCCCGUUAGCAUAAUGCUAAUGCCGUUAUGAGGGUACUCAAUCCCUGUUAGAUUUCUGUACGGUUAGCUAACGUUAGCCAAUUUUAAUGCAUUUUUGAAACGCUGUUAAUGCUGGGGUUAGUAAUGCCUAUUAACAAAUUAAUUAUGACGGCCAAAUUACUUUGUAUUUUAGCUAAGUUACUAGUUAGUCAUUCGUAACUAGUCGUAUAUUUCGUACAGAAUAUUCCACACUUCCAUUCAUGUCAGAAUUAUAAAUGAGCAACCAACCAAUUUCAAUGCAUUUAUGAAACCUCUAAAACCAAAUCAUUGUUUUCAUUUACUCAACUAACUUAAAUCAAGCUGAGAAAUGUUAAAAUGCAAAUAAAUAAACCAACAUCAGCAUAAUUAGCUCUAGUAGCCUGCUAGGCACUAGCUGAGGCUAACCAUUGACUUGAGUAAGAACAAGCUCAAGCUCAAGCUUAUGUCAUAAAUACUGUGGGUGCUUGUCUAAGGCAUGUCUGUGUUUUUUUUUAUCUGUUUUUAUUUAUUUAAUGUAUACAUAUUUAUUUUAUGUAUGACUGAGAUUGACUUUAAUCUGGGUUGUCAUGUUAUAUCAGCAAUAUUUAACUGCAGUAAUCUACUUCUGUAAUUACUUUUUUUAAAACGCUGCAACGUUAAACUUACUACAAGUUUGUCUUAUUGUUUCCUCUCCUAGACAACAGAACAUCGAUCAUCUCCUCUGUGGUUGAUAAGUAUAGUAAUAUUGUACCUGAAAUUGAUAACAGGCCACAUAACUGUUUAGCAUCUGUAUGCUUUUUUCAAAUGUUGAUUUAUUUCAUUGUUUAUCUUAUUUGUUGAACAGUUGUUUGGGCUUUAAAAUAUUAGACAAUUGGGAAAACGUCAUGCAAAAGUCUCCCAGGAUUAUGUCCUUGUGUUUUGCCCAUAAAUUACAGAGAUUCAGUUUACUCUCAUAGAGAAGCAAAGCAAUCAGAAAAUAUUGCAUAUUGCAGCCAAAAUCAGAGAAUUUAACUUCAUUCAUCAAUGAAUAGCAACAUCUUGAAUGCUGUGUACCAUAGUGCUAUAGAUUUGCACAUCUUAAAUCCUUCAGAAGCAAUGACAGCAAUCAAAGGUAAACAGUUUAGUCUUGUUAGCAAGACAGUUAGUAUUACCACACAGCUCAGUUUCACACUGCAAUAUACAAUUAUCUUCCUAGAAAAACAUCACUUUGGAAUGAGAUGGAUAAUACAUGAAGUAAUAACUUGAGACAUUUAUAAUGAAUAAAAUAAUGACUUUUGAACGAGACAGUGAUUUUAAAUAAGGACAUACAGAGUCUUGCUUUUUGUUGUUGCUUUUUAAAAUGGAACUGAGAAUGUCUCUUUUUUUUUCUUCUCUCCAUCCCUCACCCUCCUUGGACUCUUCCUGGACUCCUCCUUUCUGUGUUUAACUGCAGACCCUCACUGCUGGUGAAUUAUUGCUGACUGAGCUAAGUGGCCUAGUGUUCCCUGUCUACUCCACUUUGGACGUCUUGGUGACUCCUUGGUGAUCUGACAGUGUCCUGCUGGCCAGCAUCUCUCCUCUCCUCUAUCAUAAACGCUCUCUGUCUAUCCUAUACCUUCUAUCCACUCUGUCUCAAUAUUGGAACCAUCAAAUCCACCGCUCUGUCUUUGAUAUCCACAAAUCUUUGUAUCCCCCUUCUAUCCACUCUGUCUCAUUAUUGAAACCUCUAUCUAUCCUAUCAAAUCUACCGCUCUGUCUACAAUAUACAAUUCAGGUUACUAAUACCUGAUCUAACCACAUAACGUUGGUUACCCUUUAUUACAACAACCUCACAAGUACCUGAUCUAUCUUUUGAUGAACAAACUCUGCUGAACCACAUAACGUUGGUUACACUUCGUUACAACAACCUCAGGUUACAAGUACCUGUUCUACUAGAUCUACUAUCAGAUUAUCCUCUUUUAAUCUCCUAUCUACACGCAAUAGAAUACGAUUACUAUCUACAAAUUGUACAGAUAGUACGAUUGUGUAUUAUACACAUAGCACGGUUUCUUUAAUUGAAUAUCACUAGAUAUAUUAUCAAAAUUAUUGUUUACUUUAUUUAAAAUCUUUUUUAUAUACACAUACAUUGUUUAAGUGUCCAAGUGUUUUGUUGUUAAACUUUUC